UUUUAAUGGUCCGUAUGAGCAGGAGAAAUGGCCACAUCAAAUAAACCAUGAGUUUGCAUCAGCAUCAGAGUAUUAAGACAGCCUUGAAAAAACGUGAACCCAUCAGUUAAUCCUUAUCUCUCAGUGGCAUCUUGCCAGUUUUGGUUUCACUUGACUACAGUAUCCAGUACAGCAGGGUGUAAUUUAAUAUUUAGUCUUUUUUUCUUCAGAAUUUACACAGUUAUUAUGAUUAUUUUAAACCAUAAAUGAUGAUAGUUGAUAGUGAUGAUCACCAAGAUUCAAGGUGAGAAACGAUAACAGAUCUUUAUUUCCAAUGUGGACACAACAAAUGUGAACCAAACAUCCAAAUAUGGCAAUCUAAAGUCUCCAAAGUAUCAGGUAUCCACAGGAACAUAUCCAGCCUGGAUAUGUGCUGCAUUUUCUCAUGAAACUGUGUUUUAGAACGUCGAGCGCUUCCCUGCCCAGCGGAUGAGUUGGACAUCCCUCAGGCUCUGCUCAAGGCUUUGGAGUCAGAAAGCGAUUCACCUCCCUGGCCCUCAUUGCACGUCAACAUGGACAACAAGGGAGAGGAAAAGCAGCUCUCUGAAAAGUCUCUGCACCCUCCCGCCUCCCCUGCGAUGCUCCCUGACCACCUCAAAUGCAACAUCCUCAAAGCCCAGAUGGAGGCAGCUUUCAGGAAGGAGGCUCCUACAACGCCCAGAGGAAAGGACUCAAAUGACAUGCUCAAAGACAGGUACCAGAGCUCAUCUCAAGAUUCGGCUGCCUCCAGCCUGCCUGCAGAAAAGACUCCACACAGGCAUGACCGCAACCCGACGCCAGAGAGGCUGCAACCCAAGGCCAACUCCAGCACCAACCGUAGAAAACGGCUGGUCAGGCAGUUCAGCUUUAAUCACGAAGAUGAAGAUAAUCUCCCCGAGGCACUUGCAGCCAUCUCCUCCCAGAGCACAGCAAAGUCGGCCUCCAGCAGCUCAUUGGACAAACAGAUACAGCCUUCCAUAUACCCACAGGUGGAUAAUAUGCCAGCACUGGAGCUGAGCAGUCCAUGCUGUCCCUCUCCUUCACCUUCCCCCCACCUGUCCCCUUCUUACUACCGUAGCUCUAAUCCUCACCUGGUCCCUUACCAUGCUGCCCAUAACGACAGCGGAGAGGAAACAAGGUUGGACAGAGAGAAGAUACUAAGAGCCCUUUUGAUGACAGAGCUUUGAGACCUUGACCUUUUUAACUGGUUUUAACUGGAAGUGUAAAAAGAAGUCCCAAAGUCGUUGGCUGUUAUCAACAUUUGUAUAUUUGCAUAACACAUUCAGUACUUAUAAUUAUAUACAUUUGCAUUAAGGCAAUUGUUAUAUUUGCUUAAAUGUUCUUUUAGAAGGAUGUUUCUUUAGGUUCACCCACCUGAAACUGUAUAAAAUAUCAGUGACAUAGAAUCAAACGGACUCACUAAUUAACUGACUGACACACAAACACACACAAUACAGACAAACUACAGAUAUGACUGGUGCUGCCUGCAUGAUAACUAUGUCACGAGAUGAAAUGUUUAUCUGAUUUGCUUUGGAUAUGUUUUGUUUUUCUGUGAUUUCAUCAUCACUGUGUCCACGCUGAUGCCUAAACUGUGUUUCAGACAGCGACUGUUGAAGCGUCAAGCGCUACACUUAAACAAAGAAGAAAAUAAAAAGCACUGCUGAAGUAAAGUGUCACUUCACUUUCAAAUCAGUUUGUUCAAAAUGUAAAUAGUGAUUGUAAUAAACAUGCUGUUAUUGUAACAGAGUAGGCACUCAAAAUGCUUACAUCAUUAUUGUAUUUCUUCUUAUGUUGGACAUCUGCUUUGACAUGACACAACAUUUGAGGCUGAAGAAACUUCCAGACCAGACUGAAAGGGAAUUCUGGCAGGUUGAGGCUGGAUUUUAGGGGCUGUGAAGCUGCAGUGUCAUUUGUCCACUAGGAGGAGACAAAUGUGCAGCCACAACUCCUUGUUCUGUUACUGCCAGUUAACAACACAA
This 1997-nucleotide long non-coding RNA is filed under the name Echeneis naucrates (live sharksucker). RNAcentral's name for it is "lncRNA (ENSENLG00000017770.1)". The record is from RNAcentral. Lineage: Eukaryota; Metazoa; Chordata; Actinopteri; Carangiformes; Echeneidae.